UAAACCCGACAAGUUUUAGCCCAAUGUUGCUAGAAAUUCACCCACGGGUCUGAGCACCCUUCGUCGGGAAUCCACCCAUUUCUGAAACACUUACCCUUGAUCACCACUACCAAAACACCUCCCUUGGACCCAGGAACAAGACCCAAGCAUUGGUAGUGGCGGCGGAGCACUGUGCACCCAUUUCUAGGGUUCCAGUGGGUUCGAAGUGAUUUGAGGCUUUUCUCGAUCAAAUUGGACUUAGCCACAUG
This 248-nucleotide long non-coding RNA is filed under the name Malus domestica (apple). RNAcentral's name for it is "long non-coding RNA (MDOM_LNC010536)". Lineage: Eukaryota; Viridiplantae; Streptophyta; Magnoliopsida; Rosales; Rosaceae. The record is from RNAcentral.